AGCUCCGGUGGCCUAGUGGUUAGAGCGUCGGCCUCGGAUGCGGGAAGUUGUGGUUUAGAACCCCGGCCGAGUCA
Non-coding RNA from Potamilus streckersoni, 74 nucleotides. The record is from the annotation of a GenBank genome assembly. NCBI's taxonomy places the organism in Eukaryota, Metazoa, Mollusca, Bivalvia, Unionida, Unionidae.